Molecule: ribosomal RNA, 506 nt
Filed under: uncultured bacterium
Lineage: Bacteria
Description: partial 16S ribosomal RNA
Rfam family: Bacterial small subunit ribosomal RNA
Source: RNAcentral
GAUGAACGCUAGCUACAGGCUUAACACAUGCAAGUCGAGGGGUAACGAGAGGAAAGCUUGCUUUCCUUGUCGACGACCGGCGCACGGGUGAGUAACGCGUAUCCAACCUGCCCCCAACUAAGGAAUAACCUUGCGAAAGUAAGACUAAUACCUUAUAAUUUCCUCAGAUGUCAUCUGACGAGGAAUAAAGAUUUAUCGGUUGUGGAUGGGGAUGCGUCAGAUUAGCUUGUUGGCGGGGUAACGGCCCACCAAGGCAACGAUCAGUAGGGGUUCUGAGAGCAAGGUCCCCCACAUUGGAACUGGGACACGGUCCAAACUCCUACGGGAGGCAGCAGUGAGGAAUAUUGGUCAAUGGGCGAAAGCCUGAACCAGCCAAGUAGCGUGCAGGAUGACGGCCCUAUGGGUUGUAAACUGCUUUUAUACAGGAAUAAAGUUAGCCACGUGUGGUUAUUUGUAGGUACUGUAUGAAUAAGGACCGGCUAAUUCCGUGCCAGCAGCCGCCGUAA